UAAAAGAAACAUCCACUGUAUUUAUGAGUUUUCUCAUCUUUGAUGUGAAGCAGAGAGGAGGGUGGAGGAUGGAAAACUAGGGGGAGGCAGAAGAGAGUAACAGCACUGGGGCGGACAAAGUGGAGGACGAUGUAGGUGUAAAAGGAGCUGAGGAGAGGCGGCAGAACUGACACACAAAGGUGGAUGUUGUUUCAUUUCCAGGGAGAUGUUCUCCCAUGAGUCCUCUGCCUCCUCCAUGUACAUCCACAGAACAGCCGAACCCUGCAGCAUGUGGCCACUGAGGGACUGAUCUAGGUUCCGGCCUUCUGGUUUCCACACACCUGUGGAUAGUCAUGCACCUGAAACUGAUGACUUCCUAUUCUUUGCUGGAUAGUUCCUCCUACCACAGGUCUCUUGGUAAUUACCUGAGUUGGGAAUCUGGAGUGAAACAUCUGGAAACUGCCAGAGAGCUGUCUGUGUCUGGGGAGUCUGGGAGCAUCACUACUGCUUGAAUUCUUGUUGCUGGACAUUCCGCACUGCAAAUAAAUG
Long non-coding RNA from Oreochromis aureus, 528 nucleotides. RefSeq lists it as uncharacterized. The transcript has 3 exons. NCBI's taxonomy places the organism in Eukaryota, Metazoa, Chordata, Actinopteri, Cichliformes, Cichlidae. The record is from RefSeq and is a predicted model, not a curated record.